This 780-nucleotide ribosomal RNA is filed under the name uncultured Lacinutrix sp. Its description in RNAcentral is "bacterial SSU rRNA". It matches the Rfam family "Bacterial small subunit ribosomal RNA", at positions 19 to 798 of the family's 1533-position model. The record is from RNAcentral. Lineage: Bacteria; Pseudomonadati; Bacteroidota; Flavobacteriia; Flavobacteriales; Flavobacteriaceae.
AUGGCUCAGGAUGAACGCUAGCGGCAGGCUUAACACAUGCAAGUCGAGGGGUAACAUUGUGCUUGCACAGAUGACGACCGGCGCACGGGUGCGUAACGCGUAUACAAUCUACCUUAUACUGAGGGAUAGCCUUUGGAAACGAAGAUUAAGACCUCAUAGUAUAUUGUUUUGGCAUCAAGAUAAUAUUAAAGGUUACGGUAUAAGAUGAGUAUGCGUCCUAUUAGCUAGAUGGUGUGGUAACGGCACACCAUGGCGACGAUAGGUAGGGGCCCUGAGAGGGGGAUCCCCCACACUGGUACUGAGACACGGACCAGACUCCUACGGGAGGCAGCAGUGAGGAAUAUUGGACAAUGGAGGCAACUCUGAUCCAGCCAUGCCGCGUGCAGGAAGACUGCCCUAUGGGUUGUAAACUGCUUUUAUACAGGAAGAAACAUUGCUACGUGUAGCAACUUGACGGUACUGUAAGAAUAAGGAUCGGCUAACUCCGUGCCAGCAGCCGCGGUAAUACGGAGGAUCCAAGCGUUAUCCGGAAUCAUUGGGUUUAAAGGGUCCGUAGGUGGAUAAUUAAGUCAGAGGUGAAAUCCUGCAGCUCAACUGUAGAAUUGCCUUUGAUACUGGUUAUCUUGAGUUAUUAUGAAGUAGUUAGAAUAUGUAGUGUAGCGGUGAAAUGCAUAGAUAUUACAUAGAAUACCAAUUGCGAAGGCAGAUUACUAAUAAUAUACUGACACUGAUGGACGAAAGCGUGGGGAGCGAACAGGAUUAGAUACCCUGGUAGUCCAC